This 252-nucleotide ribosomal RNA is filed under the name uncultured bacterium. RNAcentral describes it as "partial 16S ribosomal RNA". It matches the Rfam family "Bacterial small subunit ribosomal RNA", at positions 524 to 776 of the family's 1533-position model. The record is from RNAcentral.
UACGUAGGUCCCGAGCGUUGUCCGGAUUUAUUGGGCGUAAAGCGAGCGCAGGUGGUUUAUUAAGUCUGGUGUAAAAGGCAGUGGCUCAACCAUUGUAUGCAUUGGAAGCUGGUAGACUUGAGUGCAGGAGAGGAGAGUGGAAUUCCAUGUGUAGCGGUGAAAUGCGUAGAUAUAUGGAGGAACACCGGUGGCGAAAGCGGCUCUCUGGCCUGUAACUGACACUGAGGCUCGAAAGCGUGGGGAGCAAACAGG